This 143-nucleotide non-coding RNA is filed under the name Trachymyrmex septentrionalis. Lineage: Eukaryota; Metazoa; Arthropoda; Insecta; Hymenoptera; Formicidae. The record is from RNAcentral.
GUCAGGGACGUCAGGGUGUGGAGAAAUGAGACUAUUAACCUAACCUAAUUUCCCUACUAGGAGCCUUCGCUAGUAGGGGUACCCUGAGGGGGUAUAACUUACAGAAGGUUUAAAAUUUGCCCUCGACGUCCUUAAUUUUGUGU